This 182-nucleotide non-coding RNA is filed under the name Chloroflexota bacterium. RNAcentral describes it as "Chloroflexi bacterium GlcN6P sequence". It matches the Rfam family "glmS glucosamine-6-phosphate activated ribozyme aptamer". Rfam says of the family: This entry contains a glucosamine-6-phosphate activated ribozyme that is found in the mRNA for GlmS. GlmS is an enzyme that uses fructose-6-phosphate and glutamine to generate glucosamine-6-phosphate. Lineage: Bacteria; Bacillati; Chloroflexota. The record is from RNAcentral.
CGAGGGGACAUAGCGUUUGGCCCACCGGCAUCCCCGCCGGCGGGUGACGAGGUGGCGGUUUAUCGACGAUCAACGGAUGCCGCCCGGGGGGCGUUCACCCUCCCGUGUACUCCCUCCCCAAUCCAAGCGACGGCUCAAACCCCACGGGCAACCGUGGAUCCAACCCCGCCGCGCGUGAACAU